Molecule: ribosomal RNA, 409 nt
Filed under: bacterium
Lineage: Bacteria
Description: partial 16S ribosomal RNA
Rfam family: Bacterial small subunit ribosomal RNA
Source: RNAcentral
UGGGGAAUAUUGCACAAUGGGCGAAAGCCUGAUGCAGCGACGCCGCGUGAGGGAUGACGGCCUUCGGGUUGUAAACCUCUUUCAGUAGGGACGAAGCGCAAGUGACGGUACCUGCAGAAGAAGCACCGGCUAACUACGUGCCAGCAGCCACGGUAAUACGUAGGGUGCGAGCGUUGUCCGGAAUUACUGGGCGUAAAGAGCUCGUAGGCGGUUUGUCACGUCGUCUGUGAAAUCCUAGGGCUUAACCCUGGACGUGCAGGCGAUACGGGCUGACUUGAGUACUACAGGGGAGACUGGAAUUUCUGGUGUAGCGGUGGAAUGCACAGAUAUCAGGAAGAACACCGAUGGCGAAGGCAGGUCUCUGGGUAGUAACUGACGCUGAGGAGCGAAAGCAUGGGUAGCGAACAGG